UUAGCUAAUUGUCAGGAUCAUCUAUUCGUCCCAUGCUUAGAUUCUUCUUCCUUUUUUCCUACAGUUUGGCAGUGAACAUAUUCUGACAUUUGCAUUUGACAAAGGACUAAAAAUUAAGGGCAAGAGGAAGAAUAGAAUCUAGGGAAAAAGUAGUCAAGAAAUGGAGAACUACAAAUUAUGGCAUAUGAUUGUGAAGGAAUUCUUCCUUUGCUUUAAGAAAUGAAGAAGAGGUUAAUUUUGGGAAAAUGUUGAAAGACCUACAUGAAAUUAUUUUCAACUGAAUUAUAAAAAUCAUUUAUGUAAACUUGACUUUAUAAAUCCAGACCAGAAUAACGUGACUUCUGUUAUCUAUUCCUUCUCCAAUGUCAAAAGAAAGUGAAGAAACAGGAGUCAUCAAAGUCCAGUGGCAAAAAAAAAAAAAUCAAGAUGACUAGUGAUAACUCAGAAUGCAGUGGAUGACCUUGGCUUCUGUAAAUGUGUAGAUAAUAACAGAAUUUAUCUCCCAAGUUUGUAAUGAGGAUGAAAGUAUUUAAUAUUUUAAAGCAGCUAGU
RNAcentral lists this long non-coding RNA (551 nucleotides) under Monodelphis domestica (gray short-tailed opossum). RNAcentral's name for it is "lncRNA (ENSMODG00000048397.1)". Lineage: Eukaryota; Metazoa; Chordata; Mammalia; Didelphimorphia; Didelphidae. The record is from RNAcentral.